GCCCUUGAGUUUGAUCCUGGCUCAGAUUGAACGCUGCGGCGUGCUUAACACAUGCAAGUCGUGCGAGAAAGGGGACUUCGGUCCCUGAGUAGAGCGGCGCACGGGUGAGUAACGCGUGGAUUAUCUACCCAGACGUUCGGGAUAACGGCGGGAAACUGCCGCUAAUACCGGAUACGCUCCAAUUUCGGUUGGGGGAAAGGCGGCCUCUGCUUGCAAGCUGUCGCAUCUGGAUGAGUCCGCGUCCCAUUAGCUUGUUGGUGGGGUAAUGGCCUACCAAGGCUACGAUGGGUAGCUGGUCUGAGGGGAUGAUCAGCCACACUGGAACUGAAACACGGUCCAGACUCCUACGGGAGGCAGCAGUGGGGAAUAUUGCGCAAUGGGGGAAACCCUGACGCAGCGACGCCGUGUGAGGGAAGAAGGCUUUCGGGUCGUAAACCUCUGUCAGAAAGGAAGAACCUCCCAAGUCCGAAUAGGGCUUGGGACUGACGGUACUUUCAAAGGAAGCACCGGCUAACUCCGUGCCAGCAGCCGCGGUAAUACGGAGGGUGCAAGCGUUAAUCGGAAUCACUGGGCGUAAAGCGCGCGUAGGCCGCUUUGUAAGUCGGACGUGAAAGCCCUCGGCUCAACCGGGGAACUGCGUUCGAUACUGCGAGGCUUGAGUCCUGGAGAGGGUGGCGGAAUUCCGGGUGUAGGAGUGAAAUCCGUAGAUAUCCGGAGGAACACCGGUGGCGAAGGCGGCCACCUGGACAGGUACUGACGCUGAGGCGCGAAAGC
RNAcentral lists this ribosomal RNA (774 nucleotides) under uncultured bacterium. RNAcentral describes it as "bacterial SSU rRNA". It matches the Rfam family "Bacterial small subunit ribosomal RNA", at positions 1 to 760 of the family's 1533-position model. The record is from RNAcentral.